Molecule: ribosomal RNA, 1052 nt
Filed under: Cassava witches'-broom phytoplasma
Lineage: Bacteria; Bacillati; Mycoplasmatota; Mollicutes; Acholeplasmatales; Acholeplasmataceae
Description: bacterial SSU rRNA
Rfam family: Bacterial small subunit ribosomal RNA
Source: RNAcentral
CAUAUUAAUUAGUUGGUAGGGUAAUGGCCUACCAAGACGAUGAUGUGUAGCUGGACUGAGAGGUUGAACAGCCACAUUGGGACUGAGACACGGCCCAAACUCCUACGGGAGGCAGCAGUAGGGAAUUUUCGGCAAUGGAGGAAACUCUGACCGAGCAACGCCGCGUGAAUGACGAAGUACUUCGGUAUGUAAAGUUCUUUUAUCGAGGAAGAAAAGCAAAUGGCGAACCAUUUGUUUGCCGGUACUUGAUGAAUAAGCCCCGGCUAAUUAUGUGCCAGCAGCCGCGGUAAGACAUAAGGGGCAAGUGUUAUCCGGAAUUAUUGGGCGUAAAGGGUGCGUAGGCGGUCUAGUAAGUCAGUGGUGUAAUGUCAACGCUUAACGUUGUCCGGCUAUUGAAACUGCUAAACUUGAGUUAGAUAGAGGCGAGUGGAAUUCCAUGUGUAGCGGUAAAAUGCGUAAAUAUAUGGAGGAACACCAGAGGCGUAGGCGGCUCGCUGGGUCUUAACUGACGCUGAGGCACGAAAGCGUGGGGAGCAAACAGGAUUAGAUACCCUGGUAGUCCACGCCCGUAAACGAUGAGUACUAAGUGUCGGGUUAAACCGGUACUGAAGUUAACACAUUAAGUACUCCGCCUGAGUAGUACGUACGCAAGUAUGAAACUUAAAGGAAUUGACGGGGACUCCGCACAAGCGGUGGGAUCAUGUUGUUUAAUUCGAAGAUACCCGAAAAACCUUACCAGGUCUUGACAUGUUUUUGCAAAAUGAUAGUAAUAUCGUGGAGGUUACCAGAAACACAGGUGGUGCAUGGUUGUCGUCAGCUCGUGUCGUGAGAUGUUAGGUUAAGUCCUAAAACGAGCGAAACCCUUAUCGUUAGUUGCCAGCACGUUAUGGUGGGGACUUUAACGAGACUGCCAAUGAUAAAUUGGAGGAAGGUGAGGAUCACGUCAAAUCAGCAUGCCCCUUAUGACCUGGGCUACAAACGUGAUACAAUGGCUGUUACAAAGGGUAGCUGAAACGCAAGUUCUUGACCAAUCCCCAAAAACAGUCCCAGUC